Gasterosteus aculeatus aculeatus (three-spined stickleback) is the source of this 339-nucleotide long non-coding RNA. The record is from Ensembl. Lineage: Eukaryota; Metazoa; Chordata; Actinopteri; Perciformes; Gasterosteidae.
CCAGGGAGGGACAAUGUCCUCUAAAAAAAACAUGUUUCCCCUCAAACCUUCAUGGUCCCUUCAGGAUGAACUCUGCUGAGGAAGAGUUAAGGGUUUCUCCUCGUUCCUCUAGGUUCCUAUCAGUUCCUUUAGGUUCCUAUCUGUCCUUCUUGGUUCCUCUUGGUUCCUCUUGGGUUUUGGUUGCUGACGUUUGAACUCUUGAACAGGAGGCAGCGACUGUCUUCCUUCCAGUGGGAAGAUGCGGACACACAUUAGUGUUUACAUCAACGCCUCACUGGAUGUUUGGUGAAUCCACUUCCUGGUCAAUGAGUCAUCAUAAAAAUACUAAAUAAUUUUGUG